GCUGGGUGUGGUGGCGCACACCUGUGGUCCCAGCUACUCACGAGGCUGAGGCGGGAGGACGGCUUGAGCCUGUGAGUUCUGGGCUGUAGUGAGCUUUGCUGAUCCAGGGUUCACGUCGAUGUGGUGACCUCCCUGGACUGUCAGGACCACCAGGUUGCCUAAGGAUGAACCCAUCCAAGUCAGAAACGAAGCAGGGCAAAACUCCCAUGCUCAUCUGACCUGGGACCACACCUGUGAAUAGCCACUGCACCCGGCUGGGCAACGCAGCGAGACCCUGUGGCU
Molecule: signal recognition particle RNA, 282 nt
Filed under: Aotus nancymaae (Ma's night monkey)
Lineage: Eukaryota; Metazoa; Chordata; Mammalia; Primates; Aotidae
Description: Metazoan signal recognition particle RNA (ENSANAG00000010590.1)
Rfam family: Metazoan signal recognition particle RNA
About the family: The signal recognition particle (SRP) is a universally conserved ribonucleoprotein.
Source: RNAcentral